Alligator mississippiensis (American alligator) is the source of this 1191-nucleotide long non-coding RNA. RefSeq lists it as uncharacterized. The record is from RefSeq and is a predicted model, not a curated record. The transcript is spliced from 3 exons. NCBI's taxonomy places the organism in Eukaryota, Metazoa, Chordata, Crocodylia, Alligatoridae.
CCCUCAGUGCCUUGGGAAGCCACGGCUGUCCCUUUUCUGCCAGCAGCCGUGUGUCCGGGCAGCUGCCCUGUGUCCGGCUCUUCUGACGUCACCGGCCCGGGCCCGCCCGGCCCCGCUGACCCGCGGUCUGGUCGCUCUGGUCCCUCCAGCCGGUGCCGUCUACUCCCCGCGGGGGCUCGUGGCUCCCCAGGCUCUGCCUGCUGUAAGCCCGUCUGCGGAUGCCUCCGAGCCUGAGGCGCGUCCCCAGCCCCGGCGUCUGAGCUCCCGAUCAGAGCCCCGCAUCUUCCCGGCGGCGUCCCUUGAGGCUGCUGCCUUGCAGCGGAGCUCCCGCUGGCCCCAUUGCCCCCGAGGCUGCCCUCUGCCUCACCCGCCUGGGUCCUCCGGCAGGCGCCUGGCUCCUUCUUGUGGCGGCUGGGGCUGCAGCCUCCAGCUCCACAGCCGGCAUCUCCCAGCUGGCGCCCUGCUCCAAGCCCUGCGGCGGCGGCUCAGCGAGGCCCGGCUGCCUUUUGAGCAGCCCGCGCUGCUCGGGAGCCGCACCCCCAGCUCUUGCUGAUCCACAGGCUCAAGCUGCGAAACUGCUGAGCCUGCUUUUGUGUUGGCGUCGGCGUCCGGGUCUCCCCCCAGCAGCUGCCCGUCUCUGUUCCUGGCCAUUGGAAGACAGGAUUACCCGUCUGCUGCUCAGGAGCUGAGCCUGUCUACUCCUCCCGUGGCUUACGAAGCUCUACACCAAAUACUUGGAUGCGAGGAAGAAGUUCUUCAGCUGCUGGGAGAGAGCAGCUGCUGGAUGACUGAGAGUCCCCGAGACAAAUAUCUCACUCUAAGUGAACAAGUCGUCUUGUCUGAAAGCCGCAGAACACCAAGCCAGCAAUGUCUCGUCUGACUCGGUAACAGAAUAGAAUAACCAAGUAUGCUACACCUAUUGGUGUGGUAAGUAUGAAAUAUGAGUAAUACUAAUAAUCCUGAAAUCAGUAAAGUAAUUGUAACCUGAAACUGUAUUUGUAAUCCCUUUUCUGUAGUAUUAUUAUCAACAGAAACAGGAGCAGCAAUUUCUCUCAUAUUUUUGUGUUUUGUGUGUUUGUGUAUGUUGUGUUUCGUAUUGUUUAUGAAAGCUAAGCAGUUGUACAAGUGAUCUAAGGAGUAGUAAAUUAGCUAAUACAUUGUACAUAAUAAAGGAAGCUUAAUGGUUAAUAA